This 392-nucleotide ribosomal RNA is filed under the name uncultured bacterium. RNAcentral's name for it is "bacterial SSU rRNA". It matches the Rfam family "Bacterial small subunit ribosomal RNA", at positions 30 to 422 of the family's 1533-position model. The record is from RNAcentral.
AUUGAACGCUGGCGGCAUGCUUUACACAUGCAAGUCGAACGGUAACAGGGAGCUUGCUCCGCUGACGAGUGGCGAACGGGUGAGUAAUGCAUCGGAACAUGCCCAGUCAUGGGGGAUAACUACGCGAAAGCGUAGCUAAUACCGCAUACGCCCUGAGGGGGAAAGUGGGGGGUCUUAGGACCUCACGUGAUUGGAGUGGCCGAUGUCAGAUUAGCUAGUUGGUGAGGUAAAGGCUCACCAAGGCGACGAUCUGUAGCGGGUCUGAGAGGAUGAUCCGCCACACUGGGACUGAGACACGGCCCAGACUCCUACGGGAGGCAGCAGUGGGGAAUUUUGGACAAUGGGCGCAAGCCUGAUCCAGCCAUGCCGCGUGAGUGAAGAAGGCCUCGGUG